CAAAAAGUCAGCUUAGCAACUAAAUUUUAACUGCAAGUUUGAUGGGGAAGAAGAGGAGAUUCAUUUUAUAAGUGCUGAAGCCCCAGAGAGCUGACAGAAUUACUGAAACCAGUGGUGCAGACGUGGAAAAUUACAGACAAAUCUCCAGGACCUGAAACCAGCAUUUCAUGUCUCAAAGUUCAAGAAGG
Molecule: long non-coding RNA, 188 nt
Organism: Monopterus albus (swamp eel)
Lineage: Eukaryota; Metazoa; Chordata; Actinopteri; Synbranchiformes; Synbranchidae
Exons: 3
Source: RefSeq, a predicted model, not a curated record